Molecule: long non-coding RNA, 656 nt
Organism: Anguilla anguilla (European eel)
Lineage: Eukaryota; Metazoa; Chordata; Actinopteri; Anguilliformes; Anguillidae
Exons: 3
Source: RefSeq, a predicted model, not a curated record
AAGCCCCAUUGACCAGAUCUUCAACUUCCGCUUGUCCCAUGCCCGGAGGACUGUGGAGAAUGCGUUUGGCAUCAUGGCAGCUCAGUUCCGUAUCUACCACAGAAUGAUGGAGUUGAGCCCAUGCAAUGCUGAGAAGAUCGUGCAAGCCACUGCCAUUCUUCACAAUUUCCUCAGGUUUCUAUAAUGCGUGAUGGAGGAUAUUACCAGCUAUAGCCAGCAACCAAGAUGUCAACUAGCUCUACACUACUCUACAAAGACGUUUUAGCAGCUUGGGCACUGGAUCCUGCUCUAAAGCCUUGUGCAGUGCCUUGGCUGCUGGACCCUGCCGUGCCGGCCUGGCUUCUGGACCCUGCUACGGGGGCCUGGCUGCUGGACCAUGCCAUGCUGGCCUGGCUGCUGGACCCUGCUACGGGGGCCUGGCUGCUGGACCAUGCCAUGCUGGCCUGGCUGCUGGACCCUGCUACGGUGGCCUGGCUGCUGGACCAUGCCAUGCUGGCCUAGCUACUGGACCCUGCUACGGGGGCCUGAGUGCUGGACCCUGCCAUGCUGGCCUGGCUGCUGGACCCUGCUACGGGGGCCUGAGUGCUGGACCCUGCCGUGCUGGCCUGGCUGCUGGACCCUGCUACGGGGGCCUGAUUGCUGGACCCUGCUGUGCU